CGGAGAGUAGCUCAGCCUGGUAGAGCACUGCUUUCGGGAGGCAGGGGCCGGAGGUUCGAAUCCUCUCUCUCCG
This 73-nucleotide transfer RNA is filed under the name Azospirillum sp. TSH58. RNAcentral's name for it is "tRNA-Pro". It matches the Rfam family "tRNA". From Rfam's summary of the family: Transfer RNA (tRNA) molecules are approximately 80 nucleotides in length. Their secondary structure includes four short double-helical elements and three loops (D, anti-codon, and T loops). The record is from RNAcentral. RNAcentral also lists the same sequence under 1 other name. Lineage: Bacteria; Pseudomonadati; Pseudomonadota; Alphaproteobacteria; Rhodospirillales; Azospirillaceae.